GGUGCGUAGGCGGAUAUUUAAGUCAGAUGUGAAAACCCCGGGCUUAACUUGGGGACUGCAUUUGAAACUGGAUAUCUAGAGUGCAGGAGAGGAAAGCGGAAUUCCUAGUGUAGCGGUGAAAUGCGUAGAGAUUAGGAAGAACACCAGUGGCGAAGGCGGCUUUCUGGACUGUAACUGACGCUGAGGCACGAAAGCGUGGGUAGCAAACAGGAUUAGAUACCCUGGUAGUCCACGCCGUAAACGAUGAGUACUAGGUGUAGGAGGUAUCGACCCCUUCUGUGCCGCAGUAAACACAAUAAGUACUCCGCCUGGGAAGUACGAUCGCAAGAUUAAAACUCAAAGGAAUUGACGGGGGCCCGCACAAGCAGCGGAGCAUGUGGUUUAAUUCGAAGCAACGCGAAGAACCUUACCUGGACUUGACAUCCCCUGAAUAGCCUAGAGAUAGGCGAAGCCCUUCGGGGCAGGGAGACAGGUGGUGCAUGGUUGUCGUCAGCUCGUGUCGUGAGAUGUUAGGUUAAGUCCUGCAACGAGCGCAACCCCUAUUGUUAGUUGCUAACAUUAAGUUGAGCACUCUAAUAAGACUGCCCGGGUUAACCGGGAGGAAGGUGGGGAUGACGUCAAAUCAUCAUGCCCCUUAUGUCCAGGGCCACACACGUGCUACAAUGGUGAGUACAACAAGAAGCGAACCCGCGAGGGGGAGCAAAACUUAUAAAACUCAUCCCAGUUCGGAUUGUAGGCUGAAACUCGCCUACAUGAAGCUGGAGUUGCUAGUAAUCGCGAAUCAGCAUGUCGCGGUGAAUACGUUCCCGGGCCUUGUACACACCGCCCGUCACACCAUGAGAGCUGGCAACACCCGAAGUCCGUGAGAUAACCUUUAUGGAGUCAGC
This 887-nucleotide ribosomal RNA is filed under the name uncultured bacterium. Its description in RNAcentral is "bacterial SSU rRNA". It matches the Rfam family "Bacterial small subunit ribosomal RNA", at positions 566 to 1453 of the family's 1533-position model. The record is from RNAcentral.